RNAcentral lists this long non-coding RNA (595 nucleotides) under Citrus sinensis (sweet orange). Its description in RNAcentral is "long non-coding RNA (CSIN_LNC003852)". The record is from RNAcentral. Lineage: Eukaryota; Viridiplantae; Streptophyta; Magnoliopsida; Sapindales; Rutaceae.
UUGACCAGAUUGGAUCAUAACAGGGCAUUGGGACAAAUAUCUGAGAAACUGAAUGUCCAAGUAUCUGAUGUUAAGAAUGUGAUUAUUUGGGGAAAUCAUUCAUCAUCUCAGUACCCUGAUGUCAACCAUGCAACUGUCAAUACUGCAGCUGGGGAAAAGCCUGUCCGUGAGCUUGUCAAGGAUGAUGCAUGGUAUUAAACUUAAAUAUUUUUCUCCCCUUGAUUAAUAGUAAAGUUUGGUGAUUUUUUUUGGUUGAGUUAUUAUUUUUGUAAUGAUUUCAUACAUGGAUUGAAGGUUGAAUGGAGAAUUCAUAACCACAGUCCAACAACGUGGUGCUGCAAUCAUCAAAGCCAGAAAGCUCUCGAGUGCUCUGUCUGCUGCUAGCUCUGCUUGUGACCAUAUCCGUGAUUGGGUUCUUGGAACUCCUGAGGUUGGUAGUCUUCUCAUUUUUACUCCAAUGAUAUAUACUGAAUUGGUGUCAUGGCUUGAACCGUGGACUGCAAUUGUAGGGCACCUGGGUCUCCAUGGGGGUAUACUCUGAUGGUUCAUACAAUGUACCAGCUGGGCUCAUUUACUCAUUCCCAGUAACCUGCCG